This 497-nucleotide ribosomal RNA is filed under the name uncultured bacterium. Its description in RNAcentral is "partial 16S ribosomal RNA". It matches the Rfam family "Bacterial small subunit ribosomal RNA", at positions 28 to 507 of the family's 1533-position model. The record is from RNAcentral.
GAUGAACGCUGGCGGCGUGCCUAAUACAUGCAAGUCGAGCGAACGGACGAGAAGCUUGCUUUUCUGAUGUUAGCGGCGGACGGGUGAGUAACACGUGGAUAACCUACCUAUAAGACUGGGAUAACUUCGGGAAACCGGAGCUAAUACCGGAUAAUAUUUUGAACCGCAUGGUUCAAAAGUGAAAGACGGUCUUGCUGUCACUUAUAGAUGGAUCCGCGCUGCAUUAGCUAGUUGGUAAGGUAACGGCUUACCAAGGCAACGAUGCAUAGCCGACCUGAGAGGGUGAUCGGCCACACUGGAACUGAGACACGGUCCAGACUCCUACGGGAGGCAGCAGUAGGGAAUAUUCCGCAAUGGGCGAAAGCCUGACGGAGCAACGCCGCGUGAGUGAUGAAGGUCUUCGGAUCGUAAAACUCUGUUAUUAGGGAAGAACAUAUGUGUAAGUAACUGUGCACAUCUUGACGGUACCUAAUCAGAAAGCAACGGCUAACUACGUG